Molecule: ribosomal RNA, 693 nt
Filed under: Flavobacterium oncorhynchi
Lineage: Bacteria; Pseudomonadati; Bacteroidota; Flavobacteriia; Flavobacteriales; Flavobacteriaceae
Description: bacterial SSU rRNA
Rfam family: Bacterial small subunit ribosomal RNA
Source: RNAcentral
AGUCGAGGGGUAUAUGUCUUCGGAUAUAGAGACCGGCGCACGGGUGCGUAACGCGUAUGCAAUCUACCUUUCACAGAGGGAUAGCCCAGAGAAAUUUGGAUUAAUACCUCAUAGUAUUAUUGAGUGGCAUCACUUAGUAAUUAAAGUCACAACGGUGAAAGAUGAGCAUGCGUCCCAUUAGCUAGUUGGUAAGGUAACGGCUUACCAAGGCAACGAUGGGUAGGGGUCCUGAGAGGGAGAUCCCCCACACUGGUACUGAGACACGGACCAGACUCCUACGGGAGGCAGCAGUGAGGAAUAUUGGACAAUGGGCGCAAGCCUGAUCCAGCCAUGCCGCGUGCAGGAUGACGGUCCUAUGGAUUGUAAACUGCUUUUGUACGAGAAGAAACACUGCUUCGUGAAGCAGCUUGACGGUAUCGUAAGAAUAAGGAUCGGCUAACUCCGUGCCAGCAGCCGCGGUAAUACGGAGGAUCCAAGCGUUAUCCGGAAUCAUUGGGUUUAAAGGGUCCGUAGGCGGUUUAGUAAGUCAGUGGUGAAAGCCCAUCGCUCAACGGUGGAACGGCCAUUGAUACUGCUGAACUUGAAUUAUUAGGAAGUAACUAGAAUAUGUAGUGUAGCGGUGAAAUGCUUAGAGAUUACAUGGGAAUACCAAUUGCGAAAGGCAGGUUACUACUAAUUGAUUGACGCUGAUGG